RNAcentral lists this ribosomal RNA (253 nucleotides) under uncultured bacterium. Its description in RNAcentral is "partial 16S ribosomal RNA". It matches the Rfam family "Bacterial small subunit ribosomal RNA", at positions 524 to 776 of the family's 1533-position model. The record is from RNAcentral.
UACAGAGGGUGCGAGCGUUGUUCGGAAUUAUUGGGCGUAAAGGGCGCGUAGGCGGCGCGGUAUGUCACCUGUGAAAUCUCCUGGCUCAACUGGGAGCUUGCAGGCGAAACUGCCGUGCUGGAGUGUGGGAGAGGUGCGUGGAAUUCUGGUGUAGCGGUGAAAUGCGUAGAUAUCGGGAGGAACACCGGUGGCGAAGGCGGCGAUCUGGGUCGAGUACUGACGCUGAGGUGCGAAAGCGUGGGGAGCAAACAGG